This 810-nucleotide ribosomal RNA is filed under the name Bacillus subtilis. RNAcentral's name for it is "bacterial SSU rRNA". It matches the Rfam family "Bacterial small subunit ribosomal RNA", at positions 65 to 856 of the family's 1533-position model. The record is from RNAcentral. Lineage: Bacteria; Bacillati; Bacillota; Bacilli; Caryophanales; Bacillaceae.
AGCGGACAGAUGGGAGCUUGCUCCCUGAUGUUAGCGGCGGACGGGUGAGUAACACGUGGGUAACCUGCCUGUAAGACUGGGAUAACUCCGGGAAACCGGGGCUAAUACCGGAUGGUUGUUUGAACCGCAUGGUUCAAACAUAAAAGGUGGCUUCGGCUACCACUUACAGAUGGACCCGCGGCGCAUUAGCUAGUUGGUGAGGUAACGGCUCACCAAGGCAACGAUGCGUAGCCGACCUGAGAGGGUGAUCGGCCACACUGGGACUGAGACACGGCCCAGACUCCUACGGGAGGCAGCAGUAGGGAAUCUUCCGCAAUGGACGAAAGUCUGACGGAGCAACGCCGCGUGAGUGAUGAAGGUUUUCGGAUCGUAAAGCUCUGUUGUUAGGGAAGAACAAGUACCGUUCGAAUAGGGCGGUACCUUGACGGUACCUAACCAGAAAGCCACGGCUAACUACGUGCCAGCAGCCGCGGUAAUACGUAGGUGGCAAGCGUUGUCCGGAAUUAUUGGGCGUAAAGGGCUCGCAGGCGGUUUCUUAAGUCUGAUGUGAAAGCCCCCGGCUCAACCGGGGAGGGUCAUUGGAAACUGGGGAACUUGAGUGCAGAAGAGGAGAGUGGAAUUCCACGUGUAGCGGUGAAAUGCGUAGAGAUGUGGAGGAACACCAGUGGCGAAGGCGACUCUCUGGUCUGUAACUGACGCUGAGGAGCGAAAGCGUGGGGAGCGAACAGGAUUAGAUACCCUGGUAGUCCACGCCGUAAACGAUGAGUGCUAAGUGUUAGGGGGUUUCCGCCCCUUAGUGCUGCAGCUAAC